RNAcentral lists this ribosomal RNA (465 nucleotides) under uncultured Pseudomonadota bacterium. RNAcentral's name for it is "uncultured proteobacterium partial 16S ribosomal RNA". Lineage: Bacteria; Pseudomonadati; Pseudomonadota. The record is from RNAcentral.
GACUACCGGGGUAUCUAAUCCUGUUUGCUCCCCACGCUGUCGUGCCUCAGCGUCAGUGUGGCCCCAGACCGCUGCCUUCGCCAUCGGUGUUCCUCCGGAUCUCUACGCAUUUCACCGCUACACCCGGAAUUCCACGAUCCUCUAGCCCACUCGAGUUGCGCCGUCUCAACCGCCGUUCCCAGGUUAAGCCCGGGGCUUUCACGGCUGACUGACGCUACCGCCUACGCACGCUUUACGCCCAGUAAUUCCGAUUAACGCUCGCACCCUCCGUAUUACCGCGGCUGCUGGCACGGAGUUAGCCGGUGCUUAUUCUGCGGGUAACGUCAGCGCCGGGUGGUAUUGGCACCCGACCGUUCCUCCCCGCCUAAAGGGCUUUACAACCCGCAGGCCGUCUUCACCCACGCGGCAUUGCUGGAUCAGGCUUGCGCCCAUUGUCCAAUAUUCCCCACUGCAGCCGCCCGUAGG